This 407-nucleotide ribosomal RNA is filed under the name uncultured bacterium. Its description in RNAcentral is "partial 16S ribosomal RNA". It matches the Rfam family "Bacterial small subunit ribosomal RNA", at positions 30 to 526 of the family's 1533-position model. The record is from RNAcentral.
AUUGAACGAUUGCGGCAGGCCUAACCCAUGCAAGUCGAGCGGAGCGGCGGACGGGUGAGUAAUGCCUAGGAAUCUGCCUGGUAGUGGGGGAUACCGUCCGGAAACGGGCGCUAAUACCGCAUACUAUCAGAUUAGCAUAGGUCGGAUUAGCUGGUUGGUGGGGUAAAGGCCUACCAAGGCGACGAUCCGGCACUGGUCUGAGAGGAUGAUCAGUCACACUGGAACUGAGACACGGUCCAGACUCAUACGGGAGGCAUGAGUGGGGAAUAGUGGACAAGUGGCGAAAGCCUGAGCCAGCCAUGCCGCGGGUGUGAAGAAGGUCUUCGGAGUGUAAAGCACUUUAAGUUGGGAGGCGUUACCAACAGAAUAAGCACCGGCUAACGUCGUGCCAGCAGCCGCGGUAAUAC